UGUAAGAUCUACGGAGAAAUGCUUAGGUUGGUGCUUGCCUUCGGGCAGGUUUAACCUUUGCGUUCUACGAUGGUCUUGCAUGAGGAGUGAUAAACCGCCCCGAAAGGGACGAUGUCCAGGGUCUGUUUGCCUCAGUGCGUAGGAGAACAAAGUUCUGCUUGUACGAAGGGUGAAUACUACUUUGGAACAUCAGUUGCUGGUUUCGCGUUGUGGGCGAAAUGGUUUUCUUCCACCCGUCUUGUAACACGGACCAAGGAGUCUAACAUAUAUGCGAGUAUUAGGCUGACAAAGCCUGAUGCGUAAUGAAAGUAAAGCUGAUAAAGCUAGGUAGGAAUCUCGCCCUCGGGUGGGAGGCACUAUCGACCGAUCGUUCGCUUGCGGAAGAUUUGAGUAAGAGCAUAUAUGUUGGGACCCGAAAGAUGGUGAUCUAUGCCUGAACAGGGUGAAGCCAGGGGAAACUCUGGUGGAAGCUCGUAGCGAUACUGACGUGCAAAUCGUUCGUCUGAUUUGGGUAUAGGGGC
Molecule: ribosomal RNA, 521 nt
Filed under: uncultured eukaryote
Lineage: Eukaryota
Description: eukaryotic LSU rRNA
Rfam family: Eukaryotic large subunit ribosomal RNA
Source: RNAcentral